RNAcentral lists this ribosomal RNA (1501 nucleotides) under metagenome. RNAcentral's name for it is "bacterial SSU rRNA". It matches the Rfam family "Bacterial small subunit ribosomal RNA". The record is from RNAcentral.
AGAGUUUGAUCAUGGCUCAGAUUGAACGCUGGCGGCAGGCCUAACACAUGCAAGUCGAACGGUAACAGGAAACAGCUUGCUGUUUCGCUGACGAGUGGCGGACGGGUGAGUAAUGUCUGGGAAACUGCCUGAUGGAGGGGGAUAACUACUGGAAACGGUAGCUAAUACCGCAUAACGUCGCAAGACCAAAGAGGGGGACCCUCGGGCCUCUUGCCAUCGGAUGUGCCCAGAUGGGAUUAGCUUGUUGGUGGGGUAACGGCUCACCAAGGCGACGAUCCCUAGCUGGUCUGAGAGGAUGACCAGCCACACUGGAACUGAGACACGGUCCAGACUCCUACGGGAGGCAGCAGUGGGGAGUAUUGCACAAUGGGCGCAAGCCUGAUGCAGCCAUGCCGCGUGUAUGAAGAAGGCCUUCAGGUUGUAAAGUACUUUCAGCGGGGAGGAAGGGAGUAAAGUUAAUACCUUUGCUCAUUGACGUUACCCGCAGAAGAAGCACCGGCUAACUCCGUGCCAGCAGCCGCGGUAAUACGGAGGGUGCAAGCGUUAAUCGGAAUUACUGGGCGUAAAGCGCACGCAGGCGGUUUGUUAAGUCAGAUGUGAAAUCCCCGGGCUCAACCUGGGUACUGCAUCUGAUACUGGCAAGCUUGAGUCUCGUAGAGGGGGGUAGAAUUCCAGGUGUAGCGGUGAAAUGCGUAGAGAUCUGGAGGAAUACCGGUGGCGAAGGCGGCCCCCUGGACGAAGACUGACGCUCAGGUGCGAAAGCGUGGGGAGCAAACAGGAUUAGAUACCCUGGUAGUCCACGCCGUAAACGAUGUCGACUUGGAGGUUGUGCCCUUGAGGCGUGGCUUCCGGAGCUAACGCGUUAAGUCGACCGCCUGGGGAGUACGGCCGCAAGGUUAAAACUCAAAUGAAUUGACGGGGGCCCGCACAAGCGGUGGAGCAUGUGGUUUAAUUCGAUGCAACGCGAAGAACCUUACCUGGUCUUGACAUCCACGGAAGUUUUCAGAGAUGAGAAUGUGCCUUCGGGAACCGUGAGACAGGUGCUGCAUGGCUGUCGUCAGCUCGUGUUGUGAAAUGUUGGGUUAAGUCCCGCAACGAGCGCAACCCUUAUCCUUUUGUUGCCAGCGGUCCGGCCGGGAACUCAAAGGAGACUGCCAGUGAUAAACUGGAGGAAGGUGGGGAUGACGUCAAGUCAUCAUGGCCCUUACGACCAGGGCUACACACGUGCUACAAUGGCGCAUACAAAGAGAAGCGACCUCGCGAGAGCAAGCGGACCUCAUAAAGUGCGUCGUAGUCCGGAUUGGAGUCUGCAACUCGACUCCAUGAAGUCGGAAUCGCUAGUAAUCGUGGAUCAGAAUGCCACGGUGAAUACGUUCCCGGGCCUUGUACACACCGCCCGUCACACCAUGGGAGUGGGUUGCAAAAGAAGUAGGUAGCUUAACCUUCGGGAGGGCGCUUACCACUUUGUGAUUCAUGACUGGGGUGAAGUCGAAACAAGGUA